This 693-nucleotide unclassified non-coding RNA is filed under the name Hevea brasiliensis (rubber tree). The record is from RNAcentral. Lineage: Eukaryota; Viridiplantae; Streptophyta; Magnoliopsida; Malpighiales; Euphorbiaceae.
UAAACCCUAGUUAAGCGGCAAUUUUUUCUAUAUAAACCCUCUAAAACCCUCAUUGGUACCGCCCUCUUCAAUCUUUGCACUUCGAAUAGCAGUCUUUUUUGCUCUCUUACUUCGCCCCCAGUUUUUCAGCUUUUCAAACAAUCAUCAAUGGAGUUUUGGGGUGUUGAAGUGAAAGCAGGACAAACACUAAAGGUUAAGCCCGAGCUUUUCAAGCUCAUUCAUAUUUCUCAGGCUGCCAUAGGUGAAGUGAAGGAUGUCAAAGAAGCCAAAUAUGUUCCACUACGCCUAACUGUUGGAGAUAACAAAUAUGUCAUUGGAACUCUAUCUGCUGAGGAUAGACCUCAGUUGAUGUUUGACUUGGUCUUUGAAAAGGAGUUUGAACUUUCACAUGGAUGGAAAAAUGGGAGUGUGCACUUCAUGGGAUACUCUGCUGAUGAUCCGAGCAGUGAGGAAAUUGACUCUGGAGAUGAUGUUUUUUCCGAUGAAGAGAAUGUUAUGGAGGCACUGAAUGGGAAACUUGAGGCUGAUGUGAAGGAUGUAAAGCCUGAUGCAAAGAAGUCUGCACCUGCGAAGGAUGAGAAAAAUGCUAAGGUAGCUGAAUCAAAGAAAGAGACGGAAUCUGAUGAAGAUGAUGACGAUUCUGAAGAUGACUCUGAUGAUGAAGACGAUUCUGAAGAUGACUCUGAUGAUGAA